RNAcentral lists this non-coding RNA (27 nucleotides) under Bombyx mori (domestic silkworm). The record is from RNAcentral. Lineage: Eukaryota; Metazoa; Arthropoda; Insecta; Lepidoptera; Bombycidae.
UUAAUUGUGCAAUUAACGGACGACUAU